CUGUUCUGCUGAGGGUCUGGGGCUGAGUGGGCAGGGCCUUUUUUGUUGUAGAGAUGGGGUCUCACUAUGUUGCCCAGCCUGCUCUCAAACUCCCAGCCUCAAGCAAUUCUUCCACCUUGGCCUCUGAAAGGCUGCAAUUCCUGGUAUUCACCAUCAUGUUGGCCAUGCUUUUCUUUUCUCAUUUUUGUUUCUAGGUCACAAUACUAGUAACUGAAUCCAGGCUUACUGUAAAAUCUAAAAUUUAUAAAG
RNAcentral lists this long non-coding RNA (249 nucleotides) under Pan troglodytes (chimpanzee). RNAcentral's name for it is "long non-coding RNA NONPTRT007847". The record is from RNAcentral. Lineage: Eukaryota; Metazoa; Chordata; Mammalia; Primates; Hominidae.